Molecule: ribosomal RNA, 253 nt
Filed under: uncultured soil bacterium
Lineage: Bacteria
Description: partial 16S ribosomal RNA
Rfam family: Bacterial small subunit ribosomal RNA
Source: RNAcentral
AGGACGAACGCUGGCGGCGUGCUUAACACAUGCAAGUCAAGGGAGCCCAGCAAUGGGCAACCGGCGAACGGGUGCGUAACACGUGAGCAACCUACCGAACUGUGGGGGAUAGCCGGCCUAACGGCCGAGUAAUACCGCAUACGCUCUCAGAGAGGCAUUUCUUUGAGAGGAAACCUACGGGACAGAUCGAGGGGCUCGCGGCCUAUCAGCUAGUUGGCGAGGUAACGGCUCACCAAGGCAACGACGGGUAGCU